GUCAUGAGGCGGAGUCUGAAGGAAGCCCAAAGCAAAGCCUCGGCCUGACGAACAGGAACUGCAUAAAAGGCAUACUUGAAACGGACGAGUUUCCCAAGCAAAACAGAGUCCGAUACUGCCCGAAUUUCAAGGUGUAAGUGCAGCAGAUAUAUGAGGUGAAUG
Molecule: non-coding RNA, 162 nt
Filed under: human gut metagenome
Source: RNAcentral